RNAcentral lists this transfer RNA (72 nucleotides) under Bacteroidales bacterium. RNAcentral describes it as "tRNA-Thr". It matches the Rfam family "tRNA". From Rfam's summary of the family: Transfer RNA (tRNA) molecules are approximately 80 nucleotides in length. Their secondary structure includes four short double-helical elements and three loops (D, anti-codon, and T loops). Lineage: Bacteria; Pseudomonadati; Bacteroidota; Bacteroidia; Bacteroidales. The record is from RNAcentral.
GCUGCUGUAGCUCAGGGGUAGAGCACUUCCUUGGUAAGGAAGAGGUCGCGAGUUCAAUUCUCGCCAGCAGCU